RNAcentral lists this ribosomal RNA (1055 nucleotides) under Amynthas wuzhimontis. RNAcentral's name for it is "12S ribosomal RNA". Lineage: Eukaryota; Metazoa; Annelida; Clitellata; Crassiclitellata; Megascolecidae. The record is from RNAcentral.
UCGAUAUCCACGUAUACUCAACCUUCUCUUGACCACUCAGCAUGUGUACUGCCGUUGUAAGCAUACCUUUAAAAGAAUAAGUGUGCCGCUAUGACUAAUAACAAAAUUAGCUCAUAUACAUCAGGUCAAAGUGCAGCUAAUAAGAAGGCGAUGAUGGGUUACAACCCAAAAACAGAAUAUCAACUAAGAAAUAAAAAAUCUUAUGAAAGUGGACUUGGCCGUAAUCAAUUUACAAGUUAAAAAAAUGAACACUUAUCUAAGACAUGCACACAUCGCCCGUCACUCUAUCCUAAAGGAUAGAUAAGUCGUAACAAAGUAGGUGUAAUGGAAAUUGCACCUGUCGAGGUAUAGCAUAUAAAAUGCUUUUUACUUACACUAAAAAUAAAGUUAACAGACUUACUUCGCCCACGAGAGUAAAUCUUAUAAAUAUUUAAUAAUACAAACAACUAAAAUAUAAUAAAUAGUAAGAGUACAUAAAUGGAAAUAAUAAUAAAUAAAAGUAACUAUUAACAACUGUACCUUGUGCAUUAUGGUUUUACAAGAAAAUAAUUAAAAAUAAAAAUCCCGAAUUCUAAAUGAGAUGUUAAACUGCUGUUAUGAACCCAUUAUUUACUGUAGAAAAAGUUUUAAAAGACAGUUUAACAGAGGCUACAUACCAUUCGCAUAAGAAUAUAGCUGGUUUUCAACAAACAUUAUACAUUAAAACAUAUAAUUAAAUUAUAGUGUCAUAUUAUUGAGGAUAAGCCCAAUAAUCAAAGCAAUAAAUAAUAUAAAUCUAUUUUACCUAAUAGGCCUAAAACCAGCCAACUAAAAUACUUUACCGUUACAAAUACAGAUUCAAUUUAUAAAUUAAUAGUGCUAAAGAAAGUUGAAAUAAUGAAUAAACUACCAACAACACACAUACUAUGUAAAAAUAAGUAUUAUAAAGCUAUUAAAAAUAGAACCUAGUAAUAAUCAACAAAUAUAAAAUAAUAAUUAAUUAAGGAACUCGGCAAAUAUUAUUUCGACUGUUUAACAAAAACAUUGUCUCAUGAUAGAAAAUAUGAGAUAAUACC